This is an RNA transcript of Eubalaena glacialis (North Atlantic right whale), 1446 nucleotides long. It is a transcript of the gene named phospholipid phosphatase 5, with no coding region annotated. NCBI's taxonomy places the organism in Eukaryota, Metazoa, Chordata, Mammalia, Artiodactyla, Balaenidae. The record is from RefSeq and is a predicted model, not a curated record. The transcript has 9 exons.
CCUUGAGCGCGCGCGCCGUGAUGGGGAAGGAGGUGGCGGCGGAGGUGGGCGUGCGGCUCGCGCUGUUCGCGGCCUUCCUGGUAACAGAGCUGCUCCCGCCCUUCCAGAGGCUCAUCCAGCCCGAGGAGAUGUGGCUCUACCGGAAUCCGUACGUGGAAGCAGAGUAUUUCGCCACCAAGCCGAUGUUUGUCGUCGCCUUGCUGGCCCCGCUGGCCCCGGUCCUCCUGGCCAGGUGUCUGAAGAAGGCGGACGCAGCGGACAGCCGGCAGGCCUGCCUGGCUGCCAGCCUGGCCCUGGCUCUGAACGGCGUCUUCACCAACACAGUCAAACUGAUAGUGGGGAGGCCACGCCCAGACUUCUUCUACCGUUGCUUCCCCGACGGGCAAGCCCAUCAUGACUUGACGUGCACAGGAGAUGAGGACGUGGUGAAUGAGGGCCGCAAGAGCUUCCCCAGUGGACAUUCUUCCUUUGCAUUUGCUGGUCUGGCCUUCGCGUCCUUCUACCUGGCAGGGAAGUUACACUGCUUCACACCACGAGGCCGAGGGAAAUCCUGGAGGUUCUGUUCCUUUCUGUCACCCCUACUCUUUGCAGCUGUGAUUGCACUGUCCCGCACCUGUGAUUACAAGCAUCACUGGCAAGAUGUCCUGGCUGGAUCCGCCAUCGGCCUGACGUUCGCCUACGUCUGCUACAGGCAGUACUACCCUCCCCUGACGGACGCCCAGUGCCACAGACCACUGCAGCGCAGCCCUGCUCUUCCCACCGCGCAAAAGCAGCCCGGCGACCCUCGUCAUUUUGAUGUUUAGACACUGGAGCUGCCUCCCUGGAAAACAGGACUGAAGAUCCGCCCAAAUGUGCCAGCUGUGCCAAGCGGCCAAGGCAGGGCAGGGUAGUCAGAGACACGGCUGUCUGGAGGGCAGGGCUUUGGAUACCAUGAUACAUUUACUUACAAGAAACCAAUAUAAAAAACGAAACACAGCUUGCCUGUCUACACCGCUCUGUCCACCAGGGCCUGUAGGAACCUGAAAGGAGUGUGAAGGACUGUCACAAAGAGAACUGCAAAGACAAUCACACGCUGAGACCUGUGAGAAAGAAAAUACCUGCAGCACAGUGGUGAGCAAGAUGCCUUGGAAACAAUUAGUCUCCAUUCACCCGUCCUCUUCAAGGUGCAUCUCACUUGCACGCUCUGACACUGACUCUGCAACAGCUGUUCCUGGCCCCACAGACGCAGGUUUGUCUUUCAGAAUAAGGAACACUUCCCGCUAGCCAGAUCUACCAACACUGCCUGUGCCGGGAGCCUGUCCCAUAGCGUCCUGCACUACGGGUACCUAAGAAGGCAACGCUGUUUAUGUGCUUGAAGAGGACACUCUUCAAUACUCCCUUCACCCAAGCAGCUGUGGCAGAUGGCUUACACAAAUUCUAUCUCACCAUCAAUGUACCACUAAAACA